GAACGAACGCUGGCGGCGUGCCUAACACAUGCAAGUCGAACGAGAAAGUUUCCUUCGGGAAACCAGUAAAGUGGCGCAAGGGUGAGUAACACGUGAAUAAUCUGCCUAUGAAUUCGGGAUAACUCGACGAAAGUUGCGCUAAUACCGGAUAAGACCACGUCUCUUAUGUGAUGUGGCCAAAGGAGUCUCAAACUCCGUUUAUAGAUGAGUUCGCGGACCAUUAGCUUGUUGGCGGGAUAAUAGCCCACCAAGGCUACGAUGGUUAGCCGGCCUGAGAGGGUGAUCGGCCACACUGGAACUGAGACACGGUCCAGACUCCUACGGGAGGCAGCAGUGGGGAAUAUUGCGCAAUGGGCGAAAGCCUGACGCAGCAACGCCGCGUGAGGGAUGAAGGAUUUUGGUUCGUAAACCUCUGUCAAGUGGGAAGAAUAAUGACGGUACCACUAAAGGAAGCCCCGGCUAACUCCGUGCCAGCAGCCGCGGUAAUACGGAGGGGGCAAGCGUUGUUCGGAAUUAUUGGGCGUAAAGAGUAUGUAGGCGGCUGGAUAAGUCAGACGUGUAAGCCCAGGGCUCAACCCUGGAAUUGCGUUUGAAACUAUUCAGCUUGAGUAUAGGAGAGGAAAGUGGAAUUUCAGGUGUAGCGGUGAAAUGCGUAGAUAUCUGAAGGAACAUCAAUGGCGAAGGCAGCUUUCUGGACUAAUACUGACACUGAGGUACGAAAGCGUGGGUAGCAAACAGGAUUAGAUACCCUGGUAGUCCACGCCGUAAACGAUGACAACUAGCCGUUGGGGAGGGUUUACCUCUUAGUGGCGAAGCUAACGCGUUAAGUUGUCCGCCUGGGGAGUACGGCCGCAAGGUUAAAACUCAAAGGAAUUGACGGGGACCCGCACAAGCGGUGGAGCAUGUGGUUUAAUUCGAUGCAACGCGAAGAACCUUACCUGGUCUUGACAUACACGGAACUUUCCAGAGAUGGAUUGGUGCCUUCGGGAACCGUGAUACAGGUGCUGCAUGGCUGUCGUCAGCUCGUGUCGUGAGAUGUUGGGUUAAGUCCCGUAACGAGCGCAACCCUUAUCCUUAGUUGCCAUCAGUUCGGCUGGGCACUCUAGGGAAACUGCCGGUGACAAGCCGGAGGAAGGCGGGGAUGACGUCAAGUCCUCAUGGCCCUUAUAGGCUGGGCUACACACGUGCUACAAUGGCGGUGACAGUGGGCGGCGACCCCGCGAGGGUGAGCUAAUCCCCAAAAACCGUCUCAGUUCGGAUUGUACUCUGCAACUCGAGUGCAUGAAGUUGGAAUCGCUAGUAAUCGCGGAUCAGCAUGCCACGGUGAAUACGUUCCCGGGUCUUGUACACACCGC
This 1355-nucleotide ribosomal RNA is filed under the name uncultured delta proteobacterium. Its description in RNAcentral is "partial 16S ribosomal RNA". It matches the Rfam family "Bacterial small subunit ribosomal RNA", at positions 27 to 1393 of the family's 1533-position model. The record is from RNAcentral. Lineage: Bacteria; Deltaproteobacteria.